GUCGGCACUCUCAAAGUCAGCAUCGCUCUCGGAUGUCGCCAUCUCCGUCGGUUUGAAGUUUAUUGUCUUGGAGAAGAUGGGAUUUCAAAGUUCUGAAACGUCUUUUUUUUGUGGAACCUCUUGGGAUGCGAUCACAUUCAAUCGGAGCAGAAAGUGUGGCAGGAUUGUCAACCAAUUGCCGUGCGUUUAGCAACUGGGAGCUCAUUCGCGGAUCUUUAUAAAUUAAAUUAUUGCAAAACUAGCAAAAUAAUAAAGAACUUUUCGAUUCGGCACAAUUCGUUCUACUUGCUUACAAGAGCACAGAAUAGAAAAUGCGACUGGACAUUCAUACUGCACUGUUUCGAUACAUUUCGUAUCUUUCAUGGCAUCAACGUCGAAUCUGAAUUGCGAGACUGACUCCACUGAAAAGCAAAUAAUCUACUUGGAAUACAUAGAUAUGUAAAUUUAUGUUGCACAAAAUAUGAUUGACUCAACUUACGGCAAUAAAAACCGAAGACAAAGCAAGUUCGGUGCUUCGAACUGAUGACGUAGCCUUUGUC
Long non-coding RNA from Pseudomyrmex gracilis, 539 nucleotides. RefSeq lists it as uncharacterized. The transcript is spliced from 4 exons. Lineage: Eukaryota; Metazoa; Arthropoda; Insecta; Hymenoptera; Formicidae. The record is from RefSeq and is a predicted model, not a curated record.